RNAcentral lists this ribosomal RNA (492 nucleotides) under uncultured bacterium. RNAcentral's name for it is "partial 16S ribosomal RNA". It matches the Rfam family "Bacterial small subunit ribosomal RNA", at positions 29 to 507 of the family's 1533-position model. The record is from RNAcentral.
AGUGAACGCUGGCGGUAGGCCUAACACAUGCCAGUCGAACGGCAGCACAGUAAGAGCUUGCUCUUACGGGUGGCGAGUGGCGGACGGGUGAGGAAUACAUCGGAAUCUACUUUUUCGGGGGGGAUAACGUAGGGAAACUUACGCUAAUACCGCAUACGACCUACGGGUGAAAGCAGUGGAUCUUCGGACCUUGCGCGAUUGAAUGAGCCGAUGUCGGAUUAGCUAGUUGGCGGGGUAAAGGCCCACCAAGGCGACGAUCCGUAGCUGGUCUGAGAGGAUGAUCAGCCACACUGGAACUGAGACACGGUCCAGACUCCUACGGGAGGCAGCAGUGGGGAAUAUUGGACAAUGGGCGCAAGCCUGAUCCAGCCAUACCGCGUGGGUGAAGAAGGCCUUCGGGUUGUAAAGCCCUUUUGUUGGGAAAGAAAAGCAGCAGGUUAAUCCCCCGCUGUUCUGACGGUACCCAAAGAAUAAGCACCGGCUAACUUCGUG